RNAcentral lists this ribosomal RNA (2988 nucleotides) under Salmonella enterica. RNAcentral's name for it is "23S ribosomal RNA". It matches the Rfam family "Bacterial large subunit ribosomal RNA". The record is from RNAcentral. Lineage: Bacteria; Pseudomonadati; Pseudomonadota; Gammaproteobacteria; Enterobacterales; Enterobacteriaceae.
GGUUAAGCGACUAAGCGUACACGGUGGAUGCCCUGGCAGUCAGAGGCGAUGAAGGGCGUGCUAAUCUGCGAUAAGCGCCGGUAAGGUGAUAUGAACCGUUAUAACCGGCGAUACCCGAAUGGGGAAACCCAGUGUGAUUCGUCACACUAUCAUUAACUGAAUCCAUAGGUUAAUGAGGCGAACCGGGGGAACUGAAACAUCUAAGUACCCCGAGGAAAAGAAAUCAACCGAGAUUCCCCCAGUAGCGGCGAGCGAACGGGGAGGAGCCCAGAGCCUGAAUCAGCAUGUGUGUUAGUGGAAGCGUCUGGAAAGGCGCGCGAUACAGGGUGACAGCCCCGUACACAAAAGCGCAUGUGCUGUGAGCUCGAUGAGUAGGGCGGGACACGUGGUAUCCUGUCUGAAUAUGGGGGACCAUCCUCCAAGGCUAAAUACUCCUGACUGACCGAUAGUGAACCAGUACCGUGAGGGAAAGGCGAAAAGAACCCCGGCGAGGGGAGUGAAAAAGAACCUGAAACCGUGUACGUACAAGCAGUGGGAGCACCCUUCGGGGUGUGACUGCGUACCUUUUGUAUAAUGGGUCAGCGACUUAUAUUCUGUAGCAAGGUUAACCGUAUAGGGGAGCCGGAGGGAAACCGAGUCUUAACCGGGCGUUAAGUUGCAGGGUAUAGACCCGAAACCCGGUGAUCUAGCCAUGGGCAGGUUGAAGGUUGGGUAACACUAACUGGAGGACCGAACCGACUAAUGUUGAAAAAUUAGCGGAUGACCUGUGGCUGGGGGUGAAAGGCCAAUCAAACCGGGAGAUAGCUGGUUCUCCCCGAAAGCUAUUUAGGUAGCGCCUCGUGAAUUCAUCUCCGGGGUAGAGCACUGUUUCGGCUAGGGGGCCAUCCCGGCUUACCAACCCGAUGCAAACUGCGAAUACCGGAGAAUGUUAUCACGGGAGACACACGGCGGGUGCUAACGUCCGUCGUGAAGAGGGAAACAACCCAGACCGCCAGCUAAGGUCCCAAAGUCAUGGUUAAGUGGGAAACGAUGUGGGAAGGCCCAGACAGCCAGGAUGUUGGCUUAGAAGCAGCCAUCAUUUAAAGAAAGCGUAAUAGCUCACUGGUCGAGUCGGCCUGCGCGGAAGAUGUAACGGGGCUAAACCAUGCACCGAAGCUGCGGCAGCGAACGUAUCACCCAAGACAACUUUACGGAGUUGACGAUUGACGGAGCGAAGCGACGUCAAAGCGUUCAUUAAAGUCGAGUUGGCUUAGGGAUACGUUCGUUGGGUAGGGGAGCGUUCUGUAAGCCUGUGAAGGUGUGUCGUGAGGCAUGCUGGAGGUAUCAGAAGUGCGAAUGCUGACAUAAGUAACGAUAAAGCGGGUGAAAAGCCCGCUCGCCGGAAGACCAAGGGUUCCUGUCCAACGUUAAUCGGGGCAGGGUGAGUCGACCCCUAAGGCGAGGCCGAAAGGCGUAGUCGAUGGGAAACGGGUUAAUAUUCCCGUACUUGGUGUUACUGCGAAGGGGGGACGGAGAAGGCUAUGUUGGCCGGGCGACGGUUGUCCCGGUUUAAGCGUGUAGGUGUGUGUUCCAGGUAAAUCCGGUUCACUUUAACACUGAGGCGUGACGACGAGGCACUACGGUGCUGAAGCAACAAAUGCCCUGCUUCCAGGAAAAGCCUCUAAGCAUCAGGUAACACGAAAUCGUACCCCAAACCGACACAGGUGGUCAGGUAGAGAAUACCAAGGCGCUUGAGAGAACUCGGGUGAAGGAACUAGGCAAAAUGGUGCCGUAACUUCGGGAGAAGGCACGCUGACACGUAGGUGAAGUGAUUUACUCAUGGAGCUGAAGUCAGUCGAAGAUACCAGCUGGCUGCAACUGUUUAUUAAAAACACAGCACUGUGCAAACACGAAAGUGGACGUAUACGGUGUGACGCCUGCCCGGUGCCGGAAGGUUAAUUGAUGGGGUCAGCGUAAGCGAAGCUCCUGAUCGAAGCCCCGGUAAACGGCGGCCGUAACUAUAACGGUCCUAAGGUAGCGAAAUUCCUUGUCGGGUAAGUUCCGACCUGCACGAAUGGCGUAAUGAUGGCCAGGCUGUCUCCACCCGAGACUCAGUGAAAUUGAACUCGCUGUGAAGAUGCAGUGUACCCGCGGCAAGACGGAAAGACCCCGUGAACCUUUACUAUAGCUUGACACUGAACAUUGAGCCUUGAUGUGUAGGAUAGGUGGGAGGCUUUGAAGUGUGGACGCCAGUCUGCAUGGAGCCGACCUUGAAAUACCACCCUUUAAUGUUUGAUGUUCUAACGUGGACCCGUAAUCCGGGUUGCGGACAGUGUCUGGUGGGUAGUUUGACUGGGGCGGUCUCCUCCUAAAGAGUAACGGAGGAGCACGAAGGUUGGCUAAUCCUGGUCGGACAUCAGGAGGUUAGUGCAAUGGCAUAAGCCAGCUUGACUGCGAGCGUGACGGCGCGAGCAGGUGCGAAAGCAGGUCAUAGUGAUCCGGUGGUUCUGAAUGGAAGGGCCAUCGCUCAACGGAUAAAAGGUACUCCGGGGAUAACAGGCUGAUACCGCCCAAGAGUUCAUAUCGACGGCGGUGUUUGGCACCUCGAUGUCGGCUCAUCACAUCCUGGGGCUGAAGUAGGUCCCAAGGGUAUGGCUGUUCGCCAUUUAAAGUGGUACGCGAGCUGGGUUUAGAACGUCGUGAGACAGUUCGGUCCCUAUCUGCCGUGGGCGCUGGAGAACUGAGGGGGGCUGCUCCUAGUACGAGAGGACCGGAGUGGACGCAUCACUGGUGUUCGGGUUGUCAUGCCAAUGGCACUGCCCGGUAGCUAAAUGCGGAAGAGAUAAGUGCUGAAAGCAUCUAAGCACGAAACUUGCCCCGAGAUGAGUUCUCCCUGAGACUUAGAGUCUCCUGAAGGAACGUUGAAGACGACGACGUUGAUAGGCCGGGUGUGUAAGCGCAGCGAUGCGUUGAGCUAACCGGUACUAAUGAACCGUGAGGCUUAACCUU